UUUGGGUAUUUUGGUAACUACGCUGCCGAAGAACAAUAUUCAUCAUUGUCCAGCUGUUUCAUAACUUUGACAAUAUUCAUAAGGAGCUAAAAGCGUAUAAAUAAUGAAAUAAAGUCGUCAACAAUGGCAAAAGCAUUUCAAAGUUUUCUUCUUGUGUGUUUUUUGGCACAGGCUUAUGCAUAUAGAAAUUGUCGAAUCUACCACGAUCAUGGAAAUAAAUAUACUGAAUUGAAAUGCUCAAGCUCUGAGUAUUGCUGUGACCAUGGUUGUUGUCGUAAAGUUUACACCAUCUGGUAUUUUUGGACAUUGCUUUUGUUUGGUUUAUUUGUUGGAAUAAUUUUUUGCUGGUGGUACAAAGCAUAUAAACAUCGACAACGUACAACUAUUGUUCAACGCAAUGUUAUCCCAAUGCAUGUUGUAAAUCCAUAUCCACCUUCCCAUCCACCUAUACAUGGGGGCAACUCACAGGCAGUACCUGGCUACCCAGCAUAUGCCUCAUAUGCCUUCGCCCCUCCUCCAUAUUCAGUGGCCAUGAACCAACCAACAGCCCCACCACCAAACUAUUUUCCACCAAACCAGGCACCAAAAAACCAGUAAUUUACAGGGGAAGACAUUGAACAUUAUCUAGAGUUAUUUUAAAGAUAUAAUUGCACUUGUUAAUGUUGAACAUUUAAUCGGUGCUGGGCACUCACUGGUUUGACUGUAAAAUAUUUUAUGCAAAAAAAUUUUUCUCACUGUUUGACAUUUUCCCCACCGAAUUAUUUCAACUAUUAUUCUUAAUGCUGCGCCAUUACGAACAAACAAUGAGUUUGUGGGCUUUCCAUCUAAUCAGUAUGAUUUAGUAUUCAGUUUGCAUCAAGAAUUGUAGUAUUCAGUUUGCAUCAGGAAUAGUAGUAUUCUAUUGCAAAUGUAGCAGGCAACAUUUGCAAUGCUAGUGUGUGAGCAAGGUCUAAUUUAAAAAGGAGCAUUAAUACCUUCAGGUUGACAUUCAGUUAUCACACAGAAAUGGGUUUCAAGAUUAAAAUGUUAGUGAUGACUUCUACAGAGUAAACACAACCUAAAAGUCUCUAAUGCCAGAUUAUCAAAAUAUUCUUACCUCUUAUUAAUCAAUACCAUGACUUCUAUUCCAGUGCAACUUUUUUAUCUCUCCUAAAUAUCUUAUGUAACACAUAAACGUCUUAUGUAACACUGUAAAUAAAUGAAGUAAAAAACUAUGAUC
Dendronephthya gigantea is the source of this 1219-nucleotide long non-coding RNA. RefSeq lists it as uncharacterized. Lineage: Eukaryota; Metazoa; Cnidaria; Anthozoa; Malacalcyonacea; Nephtheidae. The record is from RefSeq and is a predicted model, not a curated record. The transcript has 4 exons.